AACUAUUACAGUCGAUGAUGAUGGGUUAUAGUCUUUGACAUCUGUGCUCUGACGAGCUGUAGUCACCACCUGGCGCAGUUAUCGAGCGAUAGUUGUGUUGGUCGUUGGUCGAUGUGGAUUGUGCCGUGGCCUACUUCACCACCUUAAUAGCGGUACUUUGAUUAAAAUCAACUGAGACUG
RNAcentral lists this small nucleolar RNA (180 nucleotides) under Torulaspora delbrueckii CBS 1146. RNAcentral's name for it is "Small nucleolar RNA snR4". It matches the Rfam family "Small nucleolar RNA snR4". Lineage: Eukaryota; Fungi; Ascomycota; Saccharomycetes; Saccharomycetales; Saccharomycetaceae. The record is from Rfam by way of RNAcentral.